Molecule: transfer-messenger RNA, 362 nt
Filed under: Burkholderiales
Lineage: Bacteria; Pseudomonadati; Pseudomonadota; Betaproteobacteria
Also listed under: 2 other names
Description: Sutterella sp905213905 Standard tmRNA
Rfam family: transfer-messenger RNA
About the family: Bacterial tmRNA, also known as 10Sa RNA or SsrA, is named for its dual tRNA and mRNA-like properties. Its role is to liberate the mRNA from a stalled ribosome. To accomplish this part of the tmRNA is used as a reading frame that ends in a translation stop signal.
Source: RNAcentral
GGGGGUGUCUUGGCUUCGACGGGGACGCGGACGCUGAAUGGGGCAUGCCGAGGUGCAGUCACCUCGUAAAUCCGCUGCAAACAAAUAAACGCCAACAACAAGCGUUUCGCUCUCGCCGCCUAAUAGGCGAGAUGCUGCACUGAUUUGACUAUGGGUCAGGUCGGGCAACCGACAGCAGCAUCGUUUUACAUAGCCUAGGUUCUGCAGCCGUCGUCGAUGCAGAGCCGAAACCAAGACGUCUAGCCUGCUGUUGGCCCGUCGAUCGGCAAAGCCGCAGGCGAAUCUCAAAUCAUUCGACUACGCAUGUAGAACCAUCGGAAAAAGGUUUCCGGACGCGGGUUCAACUCCCGCCACCUCCACCA